AUGCUUGCUUUGGCAGCACAUAUACUAAAAUUGGAACGGUACAGAGAAGAUUAGCAUGGCCCCUGCACAAGGGUGACACGCAAAUUCAUGAAGCAUUCCAUAUUUUU
Molecule: small nuclear RNA, 107 nt
Filed under: Chinchilla lanigera (long-tailed chinchilla)
Lineage: Eukaryota; Metazoa; Chordata; Mammalia; Rodentia; Chinchillidae
Source: RNAcentral